Ceratitis capitata (Mediterranean fruit fly) is the source of this 559-nucleotide long non-coding RNA. RefSeq lists it as uncharacterized. The record is from RefSeq and is a predicted model, not a curated record. Lineage: Eukaryota; Metazoa; Arthropoda; Insecta; Diptera; Tephritidae. The transcript is spliced from 4 exons.
GCCAGAAUUUAGUUUCUUGUUAAAAUAAGCUCGUUUUUCAUUUCUGAUAACAAGCGUCGCUCUGUUUCGAGCCGAUUUAAAGGCAUUCCAAUUUUCCAACGUGGGUUUCUUUUUCCAUAUGGAAUGAAGUUUAUUUCGUAACUUAAUUGAUUUCAGAGAUUUUGAGGUAAACCAUGGACAGGACAUAGACUUAUUAGUGAUUGUACGAAUGGGGACAUGUCUCUCGAAGGCUGACUUUAAAAUUCCCAUUAAGAAAUCAAGUUUUUCAUCGGUAGAUGGAUAUAUCCAGCAUUCACUCCAGUCUACACAAUACAAUUCCGAAAGAAGUAAAUUUGUGUUGACAAAGCGGUAAUCUCUAAAAGAGAUAGUCUUAUUUAUGCAACAACGAUCGAUAUUUAUGUCCAAACAGCAGAAAAUGAGAUCAUGGUCAGAUAUAAAAGUUAAUUGGUCAAAUUUUAAUACAGUAGUUAAGUCAAGAAUUAUGAAGUAGUCAAGAAGACUAGGAGUGCAAUUCACUGCAAACCGCGUAGGAAGAGAUCGGUUGACCACAGAGAGAGAG